GGUGUUGCAGUACCUGCACCCAGCAUCCUUCUGUGGGAUGUUCAAAAAGCAGUGCUACACCAGUGCAGCAUUUGGCAUCCUUGGUUUUCAUUCUGCUGUGUCUGUUAAAUGUGGGGUUUUUGCUGAAACAGUC
This is a small nucleolar RNA of Ficedula albicollis (Collared flycatcher), 133 nucleotides long. Lineage: Eukaryota; Metazoa; Chordata; Aves; Passeriformes; Muscicapidae. The record is from Ensembl.